Molecule: ribosomal RNA, 770 nt
Filed under: uncultured bacterium
Lineage: Bacteria
Description: bacterial SSU rRNA
Rfam family: Bacterial small subunit ribosomal RNA
Source: RNAcentral
AGAGUUUGAUCCUGGCUCAGGACGAACGCUGGCGGCGUGCUUAACACAUGCAAGUCGAACGGAAAGGCCCUUCGGGGUACUCGAGUGGCGAACGGGUGAGUAACACGUGGGUGAUCUGCCCUGCACUUUGGGAUAAGCCUGGGAAACUGGGUCUAAUACCGAAUAGGACCACGCGCUUCAUGGUGCGUGGUGGAAAGCUUUUGCGGUGUGGGAUGGGCCCGCGGCCUAUCAGCUUGUUGGUGGGGUAAUGGCCUACCAAGGCGACGACGGGUAGCCGGCCUGAGAGGGUGACCGGCCACACUGGGACUGAGAUACGGCCCAGACUCCUACGGGAGGCAGCAGUGGGGAAUAUUGCACAAUGGGCGCAAGCCUGAUGCAGCGACGCCGCGUGAGGGAUGACGGCCUUCGGGUUGUAAACCUCUUUCAAUAGGGACGAAGCGCAAGUGACGGUACCUAUAGAAGAAGCACCGGCCAACUACGUGCCAGCAGCCGCGGUAAUACGUAGGGUGCGAGCGUUGUCCGGAAUUACUGGGCGUAAAGAGCUCGUAGGUGGUUUGUCGCGUUGUUCGUGAAAACCCACAGCUUAACUGUGGGCGUGCGGGCGAUACGGGCAGACUAGAGUACUGCAGGGGAGACUGGAAUUCCUGGUGUAGCGGUGGAAUGCGCAGAUAUCAGGAGGAACACCGGUGGCGAAGGCGGGUCUCUGGGCAGUAACUGACGCUGAGGAGCGAAAGCGUGGGGAGCGAACAGGAUUAGAUACCCUGGUAGUC